AGAGUUUGAUCCUGGCUCAGAUUGAACGCUGGCGGCAUGCCUUACACAUGCAAGUCGAACGGUAACGCGGGGCAACCUGGCGACGAGUGGCGAACGGGUGAGUAAUAUAUCGGAACGUGCCCAGUUGUGGGGGAUAACUGCUCGAAAGAGCAGCUAAUACCGCAUACGACCUGAGGGUGAAAGCGGGGGAUCGCAAGACCUCGCGCAAUUGGAGCGGCCGAUAUCAGAUUAGGUAGUUGGUGGGGUAAAGGCCUACCAAGCCUACGAUCUGUAGCUGGUCUGAGAGGACGACCAGCCACACUGGGACUGAGACACGGCCCAGACUCCUACGGGAGGCAGCAGUGGGGAAUUUUGGACAAUGGGGGCAACCCUGAUCCAGCCAUGCCGCGUGCGGGAAGAAGGCCUUCGGGUUGUAAACCGCUUUUGUCAGGGAAGAAAAGACUCCUACUAAUACUGGGGGUUCAUGACGGUACCUGAAGAAUAAGCACCGGCUAACUACGUGCCAGCAGCCGCGGUAAUACGUAGGGUGCAAGCGUUAAUCGGAAUUACUGGGCGUAAAGCGUGCGCAGGCGGUUAUGCAAGACAGAUGUGAAAUCCCCGGGCUCAACCUGGGAACUGCAUUUGUGACUGCAUGGCUAGAGUACGGUAGAGGGCGAUGGAAUUCCGCGUGUAGCAGUGAAAUGCGUAGAUAUGCGGAGGAACACCGAUGGCGAAAGCAAUCCCCCUGGACCUGUACUAAGCGUCAUGCACGAAAGCGUGGGGAGCAAACAGGAUUAGAUACCCUGGUAGUCCACGCCCUAAACGAUGUCAACUGGUUGUUGGGAGGGUUUCUUCUCAGUAACGUAGCUAACGCGUGAAGUUGACCGCCUGGGGAGUACGGCCGCAAGGUUGAAACGCAAAGGAAUUGACGGGGACCCGCACAAGCGGUGGAUGAUGUGGUUUAAUUCGAUGCAACGCGAAAAACCUUACCUACCCUUGACAUGCCAGGAAUCCUGCAGAGAUGUGGGAGUGCUCGAAAGAGAACCUGGACACAGGUGCUGCAUGGCCGUCGUCAGCUCGUGUCGUGAGAUGUUGGGUUAAGUCCCGCAACGAGCGCAACCCUUGUCAUUAGUUGCUACGAAAGGGCACUGUAAUGAGACUGCCGGUGACAAACCGGAGGAAGGUGGGGAUGACGUCAGGUCAUCAUGGCCCUUAUGGGUAGGGCUACACACGUCAUACAAUGGCCGGGACAGAGGGCUGCCAACCCGCGAGGGGGAGCUAAUCCCAGAAACCCGGUCGUAGUCCGGAUCGCAGUCUGCAACUCGACUGCGUGAAGUCGGAAUCGCUAGUAAUCGCGGAUCAGCUUGCCGCGGUGAAUACGUUCCCGGGUCUUGUACACACCGCCCGUCACACCAUGGGAGCGGGUUCUGCCAGAAGUAGUUAGCCUAACCGCAAGGGGGGCGAUUACCACGGCAGGGUUCGUGACUGGGGUGAAGUCGUAACAAGGUACC
RNAcentral lists this ribosomal RNA (1490 nucleotides) under beta proteobacterium CTE108. RNAcentral describes it as "bacterial SSU rRNA". It matches the Rfam family "Bacterial small subunit ribosomal RNA". Lineage: Bacteria; Pseudomonadati; Pseudomonadota; Betaproteobacteria. The record is from RNAcentral.